Long non-coding RNA from Bos taurus (domestic cattle), 346 nucleotides. Lineage: Eukaryota; Metazoa; Chordata; Mammalia; Artiodactyla; Bovidae. The record is from Ensembl.
GGACAGCAGAGACUGGAGGGCUACGGUCCAAGGGGUAGCAAAGAAUUGGACAUGACUGAGCAUGCGUGCACAUCUGUUUUUAUGCCAAUGCAGAUAAGAUUUUGAUAUGAAGAGAUAUAAAAGAUAAUUCCUGACACAGUAAAAAGACGGCCAUCUGCAAACCGGGAAGCGAGCCCUUACCAGACAUCAAAACUGCAGGUACUUUCCAGCCUCCAUACUGUGAGAAAUAAAUGUUAUUUAAGCCAUCCAGUCUAUGAUAAUUUAUAUAGUGGCCUGAAAUGACUAAGAUAUAUUUGAAGCAUACCAUUUAGCGAGGCAGUUUGAGACACAGUGAGAUUAGAGAAAC